CUGUCGUCAGCUCGUGUCGUGAGAUGUUCGGUUAAGUCCGCUAACGAGCGCAACCCUCGUCGUAUGUUAUAUGUGUCAUACGAGACUGCCGGUAAAAAGCCGGAGGAAGGUGAGGAUGAUGUCAAGUCAGCAUGACCUUUAUAUCCAGGGCUACACACACGCUACAAUGGUCUGUACAAUGGGUAGCCAAGCCGCGAGGCGGAGCCAAUCCUGAAAGCAGGCCUCAGUUCAGAUUGCAGUCUGCAACUCGACUGCAUGAAGCCGGAGUUGCUAGUAACCGCAGGUCAGCAAUACUGCGGUGAAUACGUUCCCGGGUCUU
This 319-nucleotide ribosomal RNA is filed under the name uncultured Anaerolineaceae bacterium. Its description in RNAcentral is "bacterial SSU rRNA". It matches the Rfam family "Bacterial small subunit ribosomal RNA", at positions 1049 to 1382 of the family's 1533-position model. The record is from RNAcentral. Lineage: Bacteria; Bacillati; Chloroflexota; Anaerolineae; Anaerolineales; Anaerolineaceae.